Pocillopora damicornis (cauliflower coral) is the source of this 908-nucleotide long non-coding RNA. The record is from RefSeq and is a predicted model, not a curated record. NCBI's taxonomy places the organism in Eukaryota, Metazoa, Cnidaria, Anthozoa, Scleractinia, Pocilloporidae.
GUUUCAUUGCGACAGCUAUGCUAUUUCUGAUUGCAAUUCACUGAUUAUUAUUUCCACCAGAAAUAAUUAAAAUCUUGGGAUGCAGUCUAUACAGAGAUGUGGCUUAUUAAUGGACCAAGAAUGACACUGAGCAACUCAGCAGGGACAUUUCAUCAAAAUUAAAGAUCCACAUCAACAGUGGACAGAAACCAGGCUUUGAAUGUCAAAUUUACAAUCACUUGGCAAAUCAAGAGGAACACAAAGAUCAUGUAAUUGAAGAGCCCAUCAACAAAAGGCUUAUCAACAGAAUGCAAGAGAUGAAAAGACACUGUAUUAAGCAGUUUGUCAAAAGGGAUAUAUUUGCAGGCCAAACUCCACCACCACUACCAACAAAUAGGUACUUCUAGCCAACAAACCCACAUAUCCCAGGCAUCUAUGGAGAUGUGGUCCAAAGUUGACCAGGAAAACCUAAAAACGAUAAUACAGCUUCAGUGUUAGGAGCAUCCUCAAGUUUUAUUUCAGACCAUGUGCUCUAUCAUUGUCAACAAGAAGUUCUAUUGUUCAAAGAACAUAGAAGGAACACAGAAGGAACACAAAAGGAACACAAAAGGAACACAAAAGCUGAAACUGUGUUGUUUACACACCAAACAAACUGGCAGAAUUAGCUUUCAAUCAAUUUGGAAAUGAGAUUAAACUUCUGGAUGCCAUUUACAAGACCAUGAGAUGUGACUUGCUGCUAUUCUUUCCAGUUGCUAAAACCAACAUAAACUGUAUAGGGUUGGGCUCUUUCAUCAUUCAAAGUGAAACAACAGCUGCAAUAUGUACAAGAACUGUUAACAAUCUUCCAUGAUUAGGAUGAUUCUUGGAAACCCUGAUAUUUUUUGACAGACUUCUGCCAAGAGAAAAUAAAUGCAAGAAAGCAAACAUUC